CUACGGGGUGCUCCAGUGGGGAAUAUUGCACAAUGGGCGCAAGCCUGAUGCAGCCAUGCCGCGUAUAUGAAGAAGGCCUUCGGGUUGUAAAGUACUUUCAGCGGGGAGGAAGGGAGUAAAGUUAAUACCUUUGCUCAUUGACGUUACCCGCAGAAGAAGCACCGGCUAACUCCGCGCCAGCAGCCGCGGUAAUACGGAGGGUGCAAGCGUUAAUCGGAAUGACUGGGCGUAAAGCGCACGCAGGCGGUUUGUUAAGUCAGAUGUGAAAUCCCCGGGCUCAACCUGGGAACUGCAUCUGAUACUGGCAAGCUUGAGUCUCGUAGAGGGGGGUAGAAUUCCAGGUGUAGCGGUGAAAUGCGUAGAGAUCUGGAGGAAUACCGGUGGCGAAGGCGGCCCCCUGGACGAAGACUGACGCUCAGGUGCGAAAGCGUGGGGAGCAAACAGGAUUAGAUACCCCUGUAGUC
This 464-nucleotide ribosomal RNA is filed under the name uncultured bacterium. RNAcentral's name for it is "partial 16S ribosomal RNA". It matches the Rfam family "Bacterial small subunit ribosomal RNA", at positions 339 to 795 of the family's 1533-position model. The record is from RNAcentral.